AAGAGCCGCGGUAUAUUGACCGUGCAAAGGUAGCAUAAUCAUUAGGGGUUUAAUUGGAAUCUGGUAUGAAGGGUUGGACAAAGGAGAAACUGUCUUUAUAGUAGAGAUUGAAAUUUACUUUUAAGUGAAAAGGCUUAAGUGAAUUAGAGGGACGAUAAGACCCUAUAAAACUUUAUAAAUUAUUUAGAUUUAGUUGAUUUGAAAGUAAAGAUUAAAUUUAAUUGUUUUAUUUUGUUGGGGUGAUGUGAGUAUAAUUGUUAUUAACUGCUUAAAAAAGGUACUUUUAUAAAAGAAUUGAGGGAAAUAUGGUCCUUUUUAAAGAUUAAAAGACUAAGUUACUUUAGGGAUAACAGCGUUAUUUCUUUUGAGAGUUCAUAUCGAAAAAGAAGAUUGCGACCUCGAUGUUGAAUUAAAAUAUCUAUAUAAUGUAGCCGUUAUAAAAGAAGGUCUGUUCGACCUUUAAAUUUUU
RNAcentral lists this ribosomal RNA (469 nucleotides) under Paraxanthias taylori. RNAcentral's name for it is "partial 16S ribosomal RNA". It matches the Rfam family "Bacterial large subunit ribosomal RNA", at positions 1926 to 2597 of the family's 2925-position model. Lineage: Eukaryota; Metazoa; Arthropoda; Malacostraca; Decapoda; Xanthidae. The record is from RNAcentral.